UUCCAUGUCAGUGUUUGCGCCACACGGGACUGUGUGGUGCCUAAGGAAGAAUUUGUAACUUCUCUCAUUGGGUGCGUUUGAGUUGUAAGGAGAGAAGUCGGUGAAGAUGCAUCUGUGACUGCCGAAAGUCGAACACUGUGGUUUUCUGACAGCGAGGCUCAGAUCAACAUGGCAGUGUUGCCAUUGUUUAUAAAAGCUUCUCUUAAUAAUGUAUUAUAUUAUCUAACCCCAUAAUCACACACUCACAAACUGAAAUCAUAACAUAAUAUUGUGUGUACACAUUGUUCAAUCAAUUAGUGAGAUCGCCUCAAAUAUCAUAUUUGUAUAUGGUGCAUUCGGAAAGUAUUCAGACCCUUUGACUUUUUUAACAUUUUGUUACGUUACAGCUUUAUUCUAAAAUGGAUUACAUUGUUUUUUUUCCGUCAUCAAUCUACUCACAAUACCCCACAAUGACAAAGUAGAAACAGGUUUGACACAAUCCAUUCUCGGAGCUCUACGGACAAUUCCUUCGACCUCAUGGCUUGGUUUUUGCUCUGACAUGCACUGUCAACUGUGGGACCUUAUAUGAACAGGUGUGUGCCUUUCCAAAUCCUGUCCAAUCAAUUGAAUUUUCCACAGGUGGACUCCAAUCAAGUUGUGGAAACAUCUCAAGGUUGAUCAAUAGAAACAGGAUGCUCCUGAGCUUAAUUUGGAGUCUCAUAGCAAAGGGUCUGAAUAGUUAUGUAAAUAAGGUAUUUCAGUUUUUUAUUUUUAACAUUUGCAAACAUGCCUCCAGCCACCCAAGCCAUAGACUGUGCUCUCUGGUUCCAUAUGGCAAGCAGUAACAACUUCUAUCCACAAGCCAUAGACAACUAAAUAGCUAACAUAAUGGCUACAUGGACUGAGUUGACCCUUGUGUUUAAAAAAAAAAAUCACACUCACAGGACUCUACAGACUCACAAUGACACUCCAACACACAUAUAACAUGCACGCACACUUAUACACACAUACUCACAAUUUUUAUUUAUUUUUAUUUCCUUUAUUUAACCAGGUAAGCUAGUUGAGAACAAGUUCUCAUUUACAACUGCAACCUGGCCAAGAUAAAGCAAAGCAGUGUGAUACAAACAACAACACAGAGUUACACAUGGAAUAAACAAGCGUACAGUCAAUAACACUAUAGAAAAAAAGAAAGUCUAUAUACAGUGUGCAAAUGGCGUGAGGAAGUAAGGCAAAUAGGCCAUAGAAGCAAAGUAAUUACAAUUUAGCAAAUGAACACUGGAGUGAUAGAUGAGCAGAUAGUGAUGUGCAAGUAGAAAUCCUGGUGGGCAAAAGAGCAGAAAAGUAAAUAAAAACAACAUACAAUCAUUUGCGCUGCUGCUACUCUGUUUACCAUACAGUAUCCUGAUGCCUAGUCACCUUACCCCUAUACAUAUCUACCUCUAUCACUCCAGUAUCCCUGAACAUUGUAAAUAUGGUUUACUAACUGACCCUGAAUAUAGCUUCUUACUUUCUCAUUUUCUUAUUUUUAUUUCUUGUGUUUUUGUUCUACCUUGUUUUCAGUGCUACAUUGAUAUUGAUUACUGCAUUGUUGUGUUUGGGGCUUGCAAGAAAGGCAUUUCACUGUACUUGGGCA
Oncorhynchus tshawytscha (Chinook salmon) is the source of this 1612-nucleotide long non-coding RNA. NCBI's taxonomy places the organism in Eukaryota, Metazoa, Chordata, Actinopteri, Salmoniformes, Salmonidae. The record is from Ensembl.